This 479-nucleotide ribosomal RNA is filed under the name uncultured bacterium. RNAcentral describes it as "partial 16S ribosomal RNA". It matches the Rfam family "Bacterial small subunit ribosomal RNA", at positions 28 to 507 of the family's 1533-position model. The record is from RNAcentral.
GAUGAACGCUAGCGGGAGGCCUAACACAUGCAAGCCGAGCGGUAUUGUUUCUUCGGAAAUGGGAGAGCGGCGUACGGGUGCGUAACACGUGUGCAACCUGCCUUUAUCUGGGGGAUAGCCUUUCGAAAGGAAGAUUAAUACUCCAUAAUAUAUUGAACGGCAUCGUUUAAUAUUGAAAGCUCCGGCGGAUAGAGAUGGGCACGCGCAAGAUUAGCUAGUUGGUGAGGUAACGGCUCACCAAGGCGAUGAUCUUUAGGGGGCCUGAGAGGGUGAUCCCCCACACUGGUACUGAGGCCCGGACCAGACUCCUACGGGAGGCAGCAGUGAGGAAUAUUGGUCAAUGGGUGCAAGCCUGAACCAGCCAUCCCGCGUGAAGGACGACUGCCCUAUGGGUUGUAAACUUCUUUUGUAUAGGGAUAAACCUACCCUCGAGAGGGUAGCUGAAGGUACUAUACGAAUAAGCACCGGCUAACUCCGUG